Pelobates cultripes (western spadefoot toad) is the source of this 310-nucleotide non-coding RNA. The record is from the annotation of a GenBank genome assembly. NCBI's taxonomy places the organism in Eukaryota, Metazoa, Chordata, Amphibia, Anura, Pelobatidae.
GGACGGUGAUAGCUCAGUGGCUUUGCCUGCUAAAUCUGCUUGUGCGUCUACUCCAGAGGCACUGUCCCGAUUUUGGAUGCGGAAUAGGGUAACAUAGCCACAGGGAAAACCGUGGCACGUAUGAGGGCCCAACCUCCCGCCUCGAUGCCUGAGCUUAAGACACUCAAGGGUGUCAUGUGUAGAGCAGGAACGUCCAGUGAGCAGGUCAGUCUUAGGGUGUGUCAGGUUGUUUAUACGUGGGUCUGGCUUCUGUCACGCUGUUUGUCGUGGUUGUGUGGGCUGGUCAAGCGACGCAGUCGCCGGUUAUCGU